Athalia rosae (coleseed sawfly) is the source of this 153-nucleotide long non-coding RNA. RefSeq lists it as uncharacterized. The record is from RefSeq and is a predicted model, not a curated record. The transcript has 2 exons. NCBI's taxonomy places the organism in Eukaryota, Metazoa, Arthropoda, Insecta, Hymenoptera, Athaliidae.
AGGUUCCUGUGAAUCUCUCGCAUUAGCUAAUUGAGAUGCUGGAAGAGUUUCUGUCGUUUCUUCAGACUGUAUUUCUUCGACAGGUUUUUCAGUCACAGUCGUAACUGGAGCCUUGCCCUCUUCUUCAACCGUCUCUUCCUCGGUGACCUGUUG